Molecule: long non-coding RNA, 3889 nt
Filed under: Capsicum annuum
Lineage: Eukaryota; Viridiplantae; Streptophyta; Magnoliopsida; Solanales; Solanaceae
Description: long non-coding RNA (CANN_LNC013854)
Source: RNAcentral
UACCAACACUUGACAACACAGAUCGGUUCCCUACAGAAACUAACUUAUUAUAAGAUGACCUAGAGAUAAGUCUAUUAGUAAACGCUCCUUCACGGUCCUGUUUCAAUUGGGCUGCAACGAUGUCGAGAGGAGAUAACAAAAUGGGUGAAGAGCUGGUCGAUGUUAUCGAGGAACCAAAUCCAAACAAGGUGUCAGCUGCACCAUUUGUUUCGUGGAAGUUAUGUUGUACCGACGGACUCCCCAAACUCCUCAACAUUAACCUGCAAGAAGCGACAAGGUUACCGUAAGAGGUGAUGGGAAGAAAAUUAGUUCCAUAAUUCAAGCAAGUCAGUUUAAAUAUUCAAGGGGUAGAGCCUGUCUUCUAGAACUAGUUGAAGUCCAUAACAUAAGUAUUUUAGGUCAAUCAUAUUAGGAAAAUUUCCAAAACUUUGGGUCGCAAAACAAAUAAUCCAUUGACCAGUAGAGUUGUGAAUUAGACCACCAAUGCCACAUUGAUUAACGGGGCAAGAAUAGGAGCCAUCAAUAUUUAAUUUGUACUUACAUGGCUCAGGAGGGAACCAUUUAACAGUGACAUUUACGGAACCCAAAUUACUGCAGGGAAUAGAAUGAUAGUUAAAUACUCCAAGGCUUUGCUGUGAACAAUAUUAAGAUUCAGAAAACUGGUCUUCUAAUUGAAGACUAUUAUCAUUUUGAUGUAACCAAACAUUCCAAAUAGCAAAAGAAAGGAUGUCCAACCAAUUAAUAUCAUCAAUAUUAAAAAGGGGAUUAAGACUUUUAAGAGCGUUAAGCCAAUGUCAUUGGGACGUAUAUAUACGUGAAACAUUAAAGCCCAUGUCCAACAAAAAUUUUUGGGCAAUGUGACAAUAGAGGAAGACAUAAGCAACAGUUUCAGGCUCUGUAUGACAAACAGGGCAUAAAGGAUCAUGAGUCAGUCCAAUAUAAUGAAGACAGGCGGAGGAUGCAAUUUUUUCGUGAGAGAGCAAGCAAAGGAAGAAUUUAAUUUCUUUUUAAAGUAUGAAGGUGCCAAAUCCACCAAAACUCAUUGGGGUAAGCAGUAUGAUGAGUAAAAAACUUAUAAACCAAACUAUAUAUUGGUGAAAAUACAAUUUUAUUAAGAGACCAGUAAGACUUAAUGCUAUUUCCUACAGUGGUUGAGCGACGAACUAAAUUUGCCUUGAGUACAAUAGUUUGAGACAUGUGAAAAGAGAGCAUAUCACAAUCCCAAGAGUGGUCGUUCCAAACGUCGGCGAGGGAAAGAUUUUCUUCAUUCCUAAAGAGUACUUCUAAGAGGAGGAUUAUCUGGAAUCCAUUUUUGGAACCAAAAGUUAAUAGUAUUACCCCUAGGGGGGGCCCAAGCAGUAGCUUGUUGACAUAUUACCCCUCCUAUUAAAAUAUUUUCCCAAAUUAAUGAGUGAGAGAGAGCUUUUGGGUCUUGAUUAUAAACAGAAAAAAGGGUGCUAGCCCAAAGUGAAGAAGGGUUAGUGAAAAGUCGCCAAGCAAGGCAAGCAAGGAGAGAUUUAUUCUUUAUCGUAGAUUGUUGGAGGCCGAGACCUCCAUUCUCUUUAGAAGUUGUCACCUUCUCCAAACCAACAUGGUGAAUUCUUCUUUUUUGAGAGGUAGAACCCCAAAGGAAGUUACGUUGAAUUUGAUCAAUAGCAUUGCACGUUUUUUUAGGGAGUUGAAAAUAAAUAUCGCAUGAUAUAACAAGGAAUGGCACUUAAGGUAGAUUUCGCAAGUGCCAGCCUUCCAGUUGGGGAAAGAAAAUUUAGCUUCCAAGAGGCAAGUUUUUUCAUCAUAUUUUCAAGAAGAAACUGAAAAUUGGCAUGAUGGGGUUUGUUAUUCAAAAUAGAGAAACCUAGAUAUUUUCCAAAUGUUUCUGAGGAAGAGAUAUUGAAAGUAUCUUUAACAAGAUUUUUUAUAACGUUAGAGCAUAAUACAAAGAAUAUAGCUUUUGAUUUUAAGAUACUAAUUUUUUGGCCGAAAAGAUUACAAAAACAGUUCAUACACCCAAACAUGGUGCGUAUUGAUUGGGAGCUAGCUUUAGAAUUAACGUCAAGUCGUCCGCAAAGAAUAGAUGGGAAAGUUGGAGAUUGUUUUUAUGGAUGGAAAUAGGUUCCCAGUUUAAAAGAUCCACCUCGUGUGUAAUGUAGUUGGAGAGGAGGUCCAUGCAUAGAAUAAAAAUAUAAAGGGACAUGGGGUCUCCUUGUCUAAUACCACAUGAGGGGGAGAAGUAAUCCGGCUGGGUACCAUUAACAAUAACGGAAAUAUUACUAGUAGAGAUGCGAUUCAUGAUAAGGGUAGUAAUCCUAGGGGGAAAUUCAAAGAACAAAAGCGUUCGAUAAACAAAGAACCAUUCUAGAUUGUCAAAAUCCUUUUCAAGGUCUAGCAUAAGCAUAAGGCAACCUUUUUUACUUUUGGUUUUCCUAAGGUAGGUCAUAAGAUCUUAAAUAAUAAUGUCAUUAUCACAAGCCCGACGCCCCUUAAUAAAGCUAGAUUGGAAGGGACCGAUAAGGCUGGGAAGGUAGGGUUUAAUCCAUAAUUUUGGUGAUGAUUUUAUAGAUCGUAUUACACAAACUAAUGGGACGAUUUUCUUUUAGAAGUUUUGCAUUAGCAAAUUUAGGGAUAAGACACAAUAACAUAUCAUUAAGAGCUUCUAGCAGUGUUUGGGUCAAAAACACCUUAUGCCAUAAAUUAGAAAUAGAAUUACCAUUAGUUCUCCAUUGGGACGGGAAAAAGUAGGGAUGAGGGCCAUCCAGGCCUGGGGCUUUAAAAGGUUUGAAAGAGAAUAAAUCUUGAGUAAUUUCAACAUCCCAAAGGGGUAUAUCUAGAGCAGAGAGAUCAAGUCGGUGGAACCUAGUAGGGAAGGUUCGAAUAUGUUGCCAAUUCGAACUAGUAAGGUCUGUAGUAAAGCAAUUAUGAAAUAAUUCUAAGUAUGGUCAGAAAGUUGUACAGGGUUAGUAAUUCAUUGAUCUUUAUCAUCUUUAAAAUAAGAAACCUUAUUCCUACGCCUUAUAUUAAUAACGAAGAGAUGGAAAAACAUAGUAUUUGCAUCCCCUUUGCUAAUCCAAUUAAUACGAGAUCGCAUCUUUCAAAAAACUUGUUCGACGCGAAAGGUGUCAUUAUACUCUAAAGUAAGAUUUUUUUUCAAGAGAUUGUUGGAAGAAACUUGUAGAGCCAUAUGGCGAUGCUUCUCUUUUAAAUAUUCCUAAAAGUGAGCUUACUCCAAGUAAUAAUAGAAUCUCAAAAAACAGGAAUGGCUUCGUGGAGAGAUCUAUUUUCCCAACAACUGAUAAUGAGGCUAUUAAACUUUGGAUGAUCCAUCCAAAAUUUCUCCAACCUAAAAGGACUUCUACCAUUAGUGGUACUUUUGCUAAGAGAAAUAAGAAGAGGAUUGUGAUCGAAAUGAGUUUUUGGGAGAUGAGUAACAUGGGCGUUAGGCCAUAUAUCUAGGAAAUUAUUAUUAGCAAAAACACGAUCUAAACAUUCCAGAAUAAGACCUCUAUGUUUUUUCCUAUGGUUAGACCAAGUAUAUCGAGAGCCUUUAAAGCCUAAAUCUAAGAAUUGGCUGUUAUUUAUACAGGACCAAGAGACCAAAAUUCAGAACUUCUACGAUAAUAUAAAUUACGCCCUCCCCAUUUAUCACUUAGGUUAAGAAUUUCGUUAAAAUCACCUGCAAUUAACCAAGGGCAGUCUAUAGUACUAGAAAUACUUUUAGGAUGGUUCCAGAGAUCCAUUCGAGAAGAAAAAAAAAGUACUAGAUAUAUGAUGGAAAGCCAGCAUGGAGAGUUGUUAGGGAUUACCUUAAUCAUCACAUGAAGUUCUUGCAAAGAUUGAUGCUUGCAAGUGAUGGCAACAAAGUUGGUGUUCCAAAGAAGCAUUAUACCCCNNN